This 498-nucleotide ribosomal RNA is filed under the name uncultured crenarchaeote. Its description in RNAcentral is "bacterial SSU rRNA". It matches the Rfam family "Archaeal small subunit ribosomal RNA", at positions 319 to 820 of the family's 1478-position model. The record is from RNAcentral. Lineage: Archaea; Thermoproteati; Thermoproteota.
GCCCCAUGGGGCGCAGCAGGCGAGAAAACUUUGCAAUGUGCGAAAGCACGACAAGGUUAAUCCGAGUGGUUUCUGCUAAAGGAACCUUUUGUCGGUCCUAGAAACACCGAUGAAUAAGGGGUGGGCAAGUUCUGGUGUCAGCCGCCGCGGUAAAACCAGCACCUCAAGUGGUCAGGAUGAUUAUUGGGCCUAAAGCAUCCGUAGCCGGCUCUGUAAGUUUUCGGUUAAAUCUGUACGCUUAACGUACAGGCUGCCGGGAAUACUGCAGAGCUAGGGAGUGGGAGAGGUAGACGGUACUCGGUAGGAAGGGGUAAAAUCCUUUGAUCUAUUGAUGACCACCUGUGGCGAAGGCGGUCUACCAGAACACGUCCGACGGUGAGGGAUGAAAGCUGGGGGAGCAAACCGGAUUAGAUACCCGGGUAGUCCCAGCUGUAAACUAUGCAAACUCAGUGAUGCAUUGGAUGUGGCCAAUGCAGUGCUGCAGGGAAGCCGUUAAGU